This 484-nucleotide ribosomal RNA is filed under the name uncultured bacterium. Its description in RNAcentral is "partial 16S ribosomal RNA". It matches the Rfam family "Bacterial small subunit ribosomal RNA", at positions 30 to 507 of the family's 1533-position model. The record is from RNAcentral.
AUUGAACGCUGGCGGCAGGCCUAACACAUGCAAGUCGAGCGGAUGAAGGGAGCUUGCUCCUGGAUUCAGCGGCGGACGGGUGAGUAAUGCCUAGGAAUCUGCCUGGUAGUGGGGGAUAACGUCCGGAAACGGGCGCUAAUACCGCAUACGUCCUGAGGGAGAAAGUGGGGGAUCUUCGGACCUCACGCUAUCAGAUGAGCCUAGGUCGGAUUAGCUAGUUGGUGGGGUAAAGGCCUACCAAGGCGACGAUCCGUAACUGGUCUGAGAGGAUGAUCAGUCACACUGGAACUGAGACACGGUCCAGACUCCUACGGGAGGCAGCAGUGGGGAAUAUUGGACAAUGGGCGAAAGCCUGAUCCAGCCAUGCCGCGUGUGUGAAGAAGGUCUUCGGAUUGUAAAGCACUUUAAGUUGGGAGGAAGGGCAGUAAGUUAAUACCUUGCUGUUUUGACGUUACCAACAGAAUAAGCACCGGGUAACUUCGUG